Molecule: ribosomal RNA, 253 nt
Filed under: uncultured bacterium
Lineage: Bacteria
Description: partial 16S ribosomal RNA
Rfam family: Bacterial small subunit ribosomal RNA
Source: RNAcentral
GACAGAGGGUGCAAACGUUGUUCGGAAUUACUGGGCGUAAAGCGUGUGUAGGUGGCUGCGUAAGUCGGAUGUGAAAGCCCUGGGCUCAACUCAGGAAGUGCACUCGAUACUGCGUAGCUCGAGUACCGGAGAGGUUGGUAGAAUUCUCGGUGUAGAGGUGAAAUUCGUAGAUAUCGAGAGGAAUACCUGUGGCGAAGGCGGCCAACUGGACGAGUACUGACACUGAGACACGAAAGCGUGGGGAGCAAACAGG